Salvia splendens (bonfire salvia) is the source of this 1554-nucleotide long non-coding RNA. RefSeq lists it as uncharacterized. The record is from RefSeq and is a predicted model, not a curated record. Lineage: Eukaryota; Viridiplantae; Streptophyta; Magnoliopsida; Lamiales; Lamiaceae. The transcript is spliced from 3 exons.
CAGUGUGAAAAAUGGAGGGAAACAAGCAGAUAAUAUUGAAAGACUACGUGAAGGGUUUGAUUCUGAAAACCUCAGAAAUCGAACGGAAUAUUCCCAACGGUGCCUUUUUGGUGAAGAAUCACUAUUUAUCUUGCGAUCUCGCCUGCUGAAGAUGGAGCGCAGUUAUAUUGACUCUUUUACCCUCGGUGAGGUUAUUGAGGGGUAUGGAGUUGCCAAAUUAGUGGAUUCAUCGAAUCAAAAAUUCAAGAAACACCAAAAAAGAUGUGAUCAACAUUUUAUCAAAGUUACUAGAGACUAUGUAGCCCGCAACCCAUGGACUAGUCCGAAUAGCCCGCUAAAUUUAUAGGGUUAAAGUUGAAGGUUGUCAGAGGCUAGGCUGGGCAGGAACAAGAGCUUCACGAAGAGGUAGGGUAUGUUGACUUUUAGUUGAACUUUGGGAUGCUGUUUUUACCUUCUCUUGUGGCUUUGUUAUGGGUUUUGGCUUGAUGAGGGGAUGGUUGGUCUGUUACUUUGAUGGGACUACUUUUUUAGGUUGUUUUUUUUUGUUUGUUUUGGAUCCUUUUUCUUAGAGGUAGGGGGUUUCGUUUUUUGGUGGCUUUGCCUUUUGACUUGCCUUUUUGUAGCUCGCCGUUUUGUGGCUUGAGUGUUUGCUUAUCAUAAAAAAAAUAGGAUUAGAGUUGAAAAUUCUAGUUCGAUUAACCCACACCUAGUAGCGGAGCCACGAGUGAACAAGAGGUACCACUGUACCGAAAACUUGUCGUCAUAAGGUUAUUAGAUAUAGCUAGCAAUAAUUACCAGACUUGGCCUAGCGGUAUUUUCCUAUACUUACACAGCAAAGAGCCAAGAUUGAAUCUCCUCAACGCCGCUCGCCAUUUGCUGUUUUUCUUUUGUUUAUUUUUGUGUUUUAUUAAAUCUUAUGCAUAAUUUUAAAUAUUUUAAUGCAUUUGAAAGUUGAAACCUACACAAUUCACAUAUAUAUUUAUUUUUUCUGUUUUUUCAAUAGCUGCAUCAUUUUAGCUUUUUUAAAAUAUUUCAAUACAUUUGAAACCUACACAAUUAGCACAUAUAUUUAUUCUUUCUGUUUUCAAAUCCUUCAAAGAAUUUUUUUCAUAUGUUCAUCAUUUUAGGUUUUUUAAAAAAAUAUUCUAAUGUAUUUUAAUUCCAUAUAAUUCCAUAUAUAUCAAUUGGUCAUAAUAUAUAUCUUUCCAAUUCUCUUUGCACAUUUUUCUAAUAACAAACAUAAAAUCAUAAAUUUUGAUUGAGAAACAAAUAAAAGAAAAUAAAAAGAAUUGGUUAGAUUUUGAAGCUUCGAAGUGCUGUAAUAAUUUAUUGUACCCCAAAUGAGAAAUUCUGGAUCUGCCACUGCCCGCACCCGAUUAACCCGUAACCAGUUAAGGUCAGACCCGAAAACUAAAGGGCUGGCCUGAUUUGUUUGACUCCUAAUUCAACACUUCAUUGAUUAUUUUAUAAUAUAAACAACUAAAAAAAUGACUUUUAAUUUUAUAUUAAAUAUAUAAAUUAUAUACUAAAUUUUAUUACUAUAAUAAUAGAUAA